GGGAGGUAAAUUUCUUCUAAAGCUAAAUACCGGCCAGAGACCGAUAGCGCACAAGUAGAGUGAUCGAAAGAUGAAAAGCACUUUGGAAAGAGAGUCAAAUAGCACGUGAAAUUGUUGAAAGGGAAGCGCUUGCAGCCAGACGUGCCUGCAGAAGCUCAGCCGGAGGGGCUUUGGCUCCCCCGGUGCACUCUUCUGCGGGCAGGCCAGCAUCAGUUUGGGCGGCUGGAGAAUGGCCUCUGUCACGUAUCUCCUAUGCCUCUCAAGAGGGGGAUGGCCUUAUAGGGGAGGCGGAGUGCAGCCAUCCUGGACUGAGGCGUCCCGCGCUGCCGUUUGGCAGCUAGGAUGCUGGCAUAAUGGCUGCAAGCGGCCCGUCUUGAAACACGGAC
This 386-nucleotide small RNA is filed under the name Emarellia paragrisea. Its description in RNAcentral is "eukaryotic LSU rRNA". It matches the Rfam family "Eukaryotic large subunit ribosomal RNA", at positions 294 to 666 of the family's 3401-position model. The record is from RNAcentral. Lineage: Eukaryota; Fungi; Ascomycota; Dothideomycetes; Pleosporales; Trematosphaeriaceae.